This 301-nucleotide ribosomal RNA is filed under the name uncultured bacterium. RNAcentral's name for it is "partial 16S ribosomal RNA". It matches the Rfam family "Bacterial small subunit ribosomal RNA", at positions 509 to 807 of the family's 1533-position model. The record is from RNAcentral.
CAGUCGCCACGGGAAUACGUAGGUGGCAAGCGUUAUCCGGAAUUAUUGGGCGUAAAGUGUCUAUAGGUGGCUUUUCAAGUCCGCCGUCAAAUCCCAGGGCUCAACCGUGGACAGGCGGUGGAAACUACCAAGCUGGAGUACGGUAGGGGCAGAGGGAAUUUCCGAUGGAGCGGUGAAAUGCGUUGAGAUCGGAAAGAACACCAACGGAGAAAGCACUCUGCUGGGCCGACACUGACACUGAGAGACGAAAUCUAGGGGAGCAAAUGGGAUUAGAUACCCCCGUAGUCCCUGUCUCUUAUAC